RNAcentral lists this transfer RNA (89 nucleotides) under Achromobacter xylosoxidans. RNAcentral's name for it is "tRNA-Leu". Lineage: Bacteria; Pseudomonadati; Pseudomonadota; Betaproteobacteria; Burkholderiales; Alcaligenaceae. The record is from RNAcentral.
GGCGUAUGUUGUGCGGGUUGCCGCAGAGGCGGGGCUCAGGAUGCCGCAAAGCCGUAGAGGCGCUCCGGGUUCGAGACCAGGAUGCGCUG